GACAACUAUGAUGCGUAGGAACCGGUACUUUCGGCUUUGCAGAGAGGAGAGAAGCCGGAAGUGAAAUGAUGAAGGGUCAGAGAUUCAGGAGGAAUAGAAUUUGGAGGGAACGCAACCAUUUGACAAGUACUAAUUGAGCACUGUUCUAGGCACAGAGGAUAAAGUCACAGACAAGCGAAAGCCCUCGUGGAAUUUGCACACUAAUGGAGUGGGAGAGGGGAGAGAAACAAGUGACAAAAAUUGCAGGUAGUGGUAAGGGGUGUGAGAAAAAUAAAGCAGGGAAUGGAGUGAUAUUAUAAGCUGGCCAAAUACUGACUCUCAGAGGAGACCUUUGUGCCAUCCAUCCAUGAUAUGAAGGAAUGAAACUAGGAAAUUCAGGGAUAGAGAAGAGGAACAGCUUUUCCAGGCUGAAAGAAAAUCAGCCAUAAACCCAGAGAUGAGGAUGCUCCUGCCAUGUUGAGGAACGGCAAAAGGCCAGUAUAGCUGAGCAUUGUCAGCCUGCCAGAGAGCAGAAAUAGUUAGGCUCAAAAAGGUGGGCAAGUGGCCAGAUCCUGUGGAGCCCAUGGGUCAUCAUAAGAGCAACAGGAAGCCCUGAGAAGAGGUGCUGGAAAUUGAACUUAAGACCCUGAGCAUGCCAGGGACUUACAGCUAAGAGUUUACCUUGGAUCUCAGAGAAUACUUUGGACUUGGACUUUUGAGCAAUGAUGGAAAUGUUAACACUCCUGUGACUCUUGGAAGUGGACUAAAUGCAUUUUGCAUUGUGAGGACACAAGCCUUUGGAGGUCAUUGGAGGAAUGUAAUAGUUUUUAUCUAUAAUGUUUCCCAAAUUCUCAUGUUGAAAGGCUUGGUUGCCAGUCCAUGGUACUAUUAGGAGAUGAUAGAAAUUUUAGGAGGUGAAACCUAGUGGAAGAAAGUGAGAUCUCUGGGUGCACGUCCUUGAAGGGGAUAUGGGACCCUGCUCCCUCCAUUUCUCUUUGCUUCUUGGUCACUAUGGUGUGAGAAGCUUUGCUCUACCAUCACAUUCUGCUUUGCCAUAGAAGACAAGUGUCCACGAACUAAAACCUCUGAAAUGUGAGUCAAAAUAAAUCUUUCCUUUUUACAAGUUGAUCAUCUCAGGAAUUUUGUCACAGUCAUGGAAACCUGUCUGCACAUUAAGAGAUUAACAAUGAUAAUUAAUAACAAAACAACAAUUAU
Sciurus carolinensis (gray squirrel) is the source of this 1194-nucleotide long non-coding RNA. RefSeq lists it as uncharacterized. Lineage: Eukaryota; Metazoa; Chordata; Mammalia; Rodentia; Sciuridae. The transcript has 3 exons. The record is from RefSeq and is a predicted model, not a curated record.